Molecule: ribosomal RNA, 609 nt
Filed under: Microbacteriaceae bacterium So2Ps_881
Lineage: Bacteria; Bacillati; Actinomycetota; Actinomycetes; Micrococcales; Microbacteriaceae
Description: bacterial SSU rRNA
Rfam family: Bacterial small subunit ribosomal RNA
Source: RNAcentral
GCCUGAUGCAGCAAUGCCGCGUGAGGGAUGACGGCCUUCGGGUUGUAAACCUCUUUUAGCAGGGAAGAAGCGAAAGUGACGGUACCUGCAAAAAAAGCACCGGCUAACUACGUGCCAGCAGCCGCGGUAAUACGUAGGGUGCAAGCGUUAUCCGGAAUUAUUGGGCGUAAAGAGCUCGUAGGCGGUUUGUCGCGUCUGCUGUGAAAACCCGAGGCUCAACCUCGGGCCUGCAGUGGGUACGGGCAGACUAGAGUGCGGUAGGGGAGAUUGGAAUUCCUGGUGUAGCGGUGGAAUGCGCAUAUGAGGAAAGGAACACCGAUGGCCAAGGCAGAUCUCUGGGCCGGAACUGACGCUGAGGAGCGAAGGGGUGGGGAGCAAACAGGCUUACAUACCCUGGUAGUCCACCCCGUAAACGUUGGGAACUAGUUGUGGGGUCCAUUCCACGGAUUCCGUGACGCAACUAAAGCAUUAAGUUCCCCGCCUGGGGAGUACGGCCGCAAGGCUAAAACUCAAAGGAAUUGACGGGGACCCGCACAAGCGGCGGAGCAUGCGGAUUAAUUCGAUGCAACGCGAACAACCUUACCAAGGCUUGACAUAUACUAGAACGCU